AUUGAACGCUGGCGGCAGGCCUAACACAUGCAAGUCGAACGGCAGCACAGAAGAGCUUGCUCUUUGGGUGGCGAGUGGCGGACGGGUGAGUAAUGUCUGGGAAACUGCCCGAUGGAGGGGGAUAACUACUGGAAACGGUAGCUAAUACCGCAUAACGUCGCAAGACCAAAGUGGGGGACCUUCGGGCCUCACACCAUCGGAUGUGCCCAGAUGGGAUUAGCUAGUAGGUGGGGUAAUGGCUCACCUAGGCGAAGAUCCCUAGCUGGUCUGAGAGGAUGACCAGCCACUGGAACUGAGACACGGUCCAGACUCCUACGGGAGGCAGCAGUGGGGAAUAUUGCACAAUGGGCGCAAGCCUGAUGCAGCCAUGCCGCGUGUAUGAAGAAGGCCUUCGGGUUGUAAAGUACUUUCAGCGGGGAGGAAGGCGGUGAGGUUAAUAACCUUGCCGAUUGACGUUACCCGCAGAAGAAGCACCGGCUAACUCCGUGCCAGCCGCCGCCGUAA
Molecule: ribosomal RNA, 504 nt
Filed under: uncultured bacterium
Lineage: Bacteria
Description: partial 16S ribosomal RNA
Rfam family: Bacterial small subunit ribosomal RNA
Source: RNAcentral